UUUCCAGACUCCUACGGGAGGCAGCAGUGGGGAAUAUUGGGCAAUGGAGGAAACUCUGACCCAGCAAUGCCGCGUGAAUGAAGAAGGUCUUCGGAUUGUAAAGUUCUUUAGUCAGGGAAGAAGUCAAUGACGGUACCUGAAGAAUAAGCUCCGGCUAACUACGUGCCAGCAGCCGCGGUAAUACGUAGGGAGCAAGCGUUGUUCGGAAUGACUGGGCGUAAAGGGUGCGUAGGCGGUUGUACAAGUUAGAAGUGAAAUACCCAGGGCUUAACUCGGGUGCUGCUUCUAAAACUGUAUGACUUGAGUGCAGUAGAGGUUAGUGGAAUUCCUAGUGUAGCGGUGGAAUGCGUAGAUAUUAGGAGGAACACCAGAGGCGAAGGCGGCUAACUGGACUGCAACUGACGCUGAGGCACGAAAGUGUGGGGAGCAAACAGGAUUAGAUACCCCUGUAC
Molecule: ribosomal RNA, 452 nt
Filed under: uncultured bacterium
Lineage: Bacteria
Description: partial 16S ribosomal RNA
Rfam family: Bacterial small subunit ribosomal RNA
Source: RNAcentral